CACAAGGAGCUGAAAGAGAUUGGG
Molecule: non-coding RNA, 24 nt
Filed under: Cricetulus griseus (Chinese hamster)
Lineage: Eukaryota; Metazoa; Chordata; Mammalia; Rodentia; Cricetidae
Source: RNAcentral